GUGGGGAAUAUUGGACAAAGGGGCGAAAGCCUGAUUCCANCCAUUCCCGCUUGUGUGAAGAAGGUUUUUCGGAUUGUAAAGCACUUUAAAGUUGGGAGGAAAGGCCAGUAAGUUAAAUACCUUGCUUUUUUUUGGCGUUACCAACAAGAAUAAGGGGCCGGGCUAAACUUCGUNCCCGCAGCCGCGGUAAUACGAAAGGGGAGCAAGCGUUAAUCGGAUUACUGCGCGUAAAGCGCGCGUAGGUGGUUCAGCAAGUUGGAUGUGAANUCACCGGGCUCAACCUGGGAACCGCAUCCAAAACUACUGAGGUAGAGUACNGUAGAGGGUCCAGAAUUUCCUGUGUAGCGGUGAAAUGCUUAGAUAUUUGNUGGAACCGCAGUGGCGAAGAUAAGNCCUAGCCCCAGNNNGAAGGUGACNCCUGGAAGAUACUGNCAUGAGGUCGAAAGCGUGGGGCCAAACAGGAUUANAUCCCUGGUGNCCNCCCUGUAANCGAUUCGCCUACCGUUUGGNUCUUAGUUUUAGCGCGCUAAUUCGACAGCCUGGGGAGUNCGGCCGCAAGGUUA
RNAcentral lists this ribosomal RNA (563 nucleotides) under uncultured bacterium. RNAcentral's name for it is "partial 16S rRNA". It matches the Rfam family "Bacterial small subunit ribosomal RNA", at positions 354 to 896 of the family's 1533-position model. The record is from RNAcentral.